GACGAACGCUGGCGGCGUGCCUAAUACAUGCAAGUAGAACGCUGAAGAGAGGAGCUUGCUCUUCUUGGAUGAGUUGCGAACGGGUGAGUAACGCGUAGGUAACCUGCCUUGUAGCGGGGGAUAACUAUUGGAAACGAUAGCUAAUACCGCAUAACAAUAGGUGACACAUGUCAUUUAUUUGAAAGGGGCAAUUGCUCCACUACAAGAUGGACCUGCGUUGUAUUAGCUAGUAGGUGAGGUAACGGCUCACCUAGGCGACGAUACAUAGCCGACCUGGGAGGGUGAUCGGCCACACUGGGACUGAGACACGGCCCAGACUCCUACGGGAGGCAGCAGUAGGGAAUCUUCGGCAAUGGGCGCAACCCUGACCGAGCAACGCCGCGUGAGUGAAGAAGGUUUUCGGAUCGUAAAGCUCUGUUGUAAGUCAAGAACGAGUGUGAGAGUGGAAAGUUCACACUGUGACGGUAGCUUACCAGAAAGCGACGGCUAACUACGUG
RNAcentral lists this ribosomal RNA (497 nucleotides) under uncultured bacterium. RNAcentral's name for it is "partial 16S ribosomal RNA". It matches the Rfam family "Bacterial small subunit ribosomal RNA", at positions 28 to 507 of the family's 1533-position model. The record is from RNAcentral.